AUACUUACCUGGCAAGGGAGACACCGUGAUCACCAAGGCGGUUCACCCAGGGCGAGGCUCAGCCAUUGCACUGCGGCUGUGCUGACCCCUGCGAAUUUCCCAAAUGUGGAAAUCUCGAUUGCAUAAUUUCUGUUAGUGGGGGACUGCGUUCGCGCUCUCCCCUG
This is a small nuclear RNA of Esox lucius (northern pike), 164 nucleotides long. Its record names the gene U1. It matches the Rfam family "U1 spliceosomal RNA". From Rfam's summary of the family: U1 is a small nuclear RNA (snRNA) component of the spliceosome (involved in pre-mRNA splicing). Its 5' end forms complementary base pairs with the 5' splice junction, thus defining the 5' donor site of an intron. There are significant differences in sequence and secondary structure between metazoan and yeast U1 snRNAs, the latter being much longer (568 nucleotides as compared to 164 nucleotides in human). The record is from Ensembl. NCBI's taxonomy places the organism in Eukaryota, Metazoa, Chordata, Actinopteri, Esociformes, Esocidae.